AUUGAACGCUGGCGGCAGGCCUAACACAUGCAAGUCGAACGAGCGGCGGACGGGUGAGUAAUGUCUGGGGAACUGCCUGAUGGAGGGGGAUAACUACUGGAAACGGUAGCUAAUACCGCAUACCAUCAGAUGUACCCAUAUGGGAUUAGCUAGUAGGUGGGGUAACGGCUUACCUAGGCGACGAUCCCUAGCUGGUCUGAGAGGAUGAUCAGCCACACUGGAACUGAGACACGGUCCAGACUCCUACGGGAGGCAGCAGUGGGGAAUAUUGCACAAUGGGCGCAAGCCUGAUGCAGCCAUGCCGCGUGUAUGAAGAAGGCCUUCGGGUUGUAAAGUACUUUCAGCGGGGAGGCGUUACCCGCAGAAGAAGCACCGGCUAACUCCGUGCCAGCCGCCGCGGUAAUAC
This 406-nucleotide ribosomal RNA is filed under the name uncultured bacterium. RNAcentral's name for it is "partial 16S ribosomal RNA". It matches the Rfam family "Bacterial small subunit ribosomal RNA", at positions 30 to 526 of the family's 1533-position model. The record is from RNAcentral.